UACGUAGGGUCCGAGCGUUGUCCGGAAUUAUUGGGCGUAAAGGGCUCGUAGGCGGUCCGUCACGUCGGGAGUGAAAACUCAGGGCUCAACCCUGAGCGUGCUUCCGAUACGGGCGGACUAGAGGUAUGCAGGGGAGAACGGAAUUCCUGGUGUAGCGGUGGAAUGCGCAGAUAUCAGGAGGAACACCAAUAGCGAAGGCAGCUCGCUGGGACGUUACUGACACUGAGGCGCGAAAGCGUGGGGAGCGAACAGG
RNAcentral lists this ribosomal RNA (253 nucleotides) under uncultured bacterium. RNAcentral's name for it is "partial 16S ribosomal RNA". It matches the Rfam family "Bacterial small subunit ribosomal RNA", at positions 524 to 776 of the family's 1533-position model. The record is from RNAcentral.